RNAcentral lists this small RNA (184 nucleotides) under Arabidopsis thaliana (thale cress). RNAcentral's name for it is "ATSL274280". Lineage: Eukaryota; Viridiplantae; Streptophyta; Magnoliopsida; Brassicales; Brassicaceae. The record is from RNAcentral.
AAGUAAAGUUGUUUAGCUUGUUUAGAUCUACAUUUUGUAUGAUUUCAGUAAUUUCUGGGUUUGUGUUCUUGAGAAUGUUGCUUGAGUAGUGAUUAGGGUUCUUGAGGAUGGAUUAGAUUAGGGUAGUCUCUAGGUUAGUUAGGUGGUUAGUGUUUAGGUUAGAACCCUUCUGGAUUCGCUUGGC